Long non-coding RNA from Tribolium castaneum (red flour beetle), 1102 nucleotides. RefSeq lists it as uncharacterized. The transcript has 2 exons. NCBI's taxonomy places the organism in Eukaryota, Metazoa, Arthropoda, Insecta, Coleoptera, Tenebrionidae. The record is from RefSeq and is a predicted model, not a curated record.
GUAGGUGAGGGACUGUCGUUUCAAUGUUUUCAUUCAUUACAAUUUCCACCUGAUAAAGAUGGAAAUAAGGUGUCUCAAAUUUAUCUACAGGAUGAUCGUAAAAGUCGAAAUUGGAUUUAGAAGAAUUAGGCACGAGUUGUGUGCAAUUGGGUCAAGGAUUGCCGGAUAACAAUAAUCGCAUUGAAACAAUAUUGACAGCCACGAAAAGAAUAAAUUAAAAUAAAAUUAUAUUGCAAAUAAAAAGUGUGGGAAACGAAUGAGAGAGCAAAAAUGAAAGAAAAUUAACAAAAAGAACUCUCGGCGAAUUUAGAUUGCUUCAAUCAUUAAACCAUAACGGACAUUCACUGUACGUUAAUGGAGGUUCUUUAAGCAAACACUAUUACAUAACUGUGCAAUAAAACGUAAAAAUUUUGAUAAGUGACAACAAUCGGAAUCGAUCAAAAAUCGCGUGUUGCGCGAAAAAAUCGACGAAAUGAAAGCGAGCCGAGUUUCGAGAGAAGUUCUCACGGUUCAGAUGAAUUCGUUCGAACCAAAUUUAUAAACGCAUUAGAAAGUACUCGGCGUACGGUGCAAGUUACAAUGUCUUUUAAAGUUUUAUUGAUGUAUAAACUGCUAUUCUACAUAUAUAUUAUUCUAAUGCGAGUCCCGUUCGGAUUCUUAGGUUGGCAAUAACGCAAUCGAGGACCAAAUACAGAACGACUUUACCAAUUAUGUUUGUGUUUCUGGUUCGCCGCGUACGCCAUCGACGAUCAAAGGGUGAUUUAUUCCAACACCAUCUAAGGGAAGAAAAGACCUAACGGAACAGAACACCAGGAAAACUGCGUAUUCGAAGAAUGUAAAAGGACUCGAGACGAAAAACUAUAAUAAAAACGAAUUAGGGUUUUAUUUCUACAAUAUCGAACGGCCACUUAAUGAAAUCAACCGAUGUUGUCAUAACCAUGAGAACUCACACGGAUUCAAAUCGGGGCUUUGUGGUGGCAUUUCUACUGGUAACUUGACACCUCACAAGUCACCUGUUGGCUCAUCAAGCAGUAGCGCUGAAUUCUAAUUAAUUACUUGAUUAAAUAUUUUUUUCAAAGUAAUUAAAUUCUCGUUACUUCAA